Molecule: long non-coding RNA, 712 nt
Organism: Photinus pyralis (common eastern firefly)
Lineage: Eukaryota; Metazoa; Arthropoda; Insecta; Coleoptera; Lampyridae
Exons: 3
Source: RefSeq, a predicted model, not a curated record
AAUAAUAUAAAAGAUUUCCGGAGCAGUCCUCGUAUUUACUUGGGGAGUACUGCCAUCUGCCGGUAGUUAUCUGGCCCCAGCGUGUCAGCUGGUUUGCUGUCAAUGCCGUUUUCGUGUCGGACGGUAGGUUAAUUUCCACGUGCAGUGCUGUCUAGAAUGUAACAAAUUAAUUGAUGCGGGAUUGAGGGCUGCGCCACCCGAACGGGGUAACCAACAGAACCUGCGGGCCCCUUAUGGUUAACGUCGGCGGGAGCACUGUGCCCCAGGUUUAGGCAGGACGGGGCGACGGGAAGAUACUACGGAGGUGUACUUCGUUUAAAACCAGGAGUCACGCUCCGAUUUUGUUUUGAAGACACGGACAGUAACCCGUUCGCUAGGGAGUACACCUAGGAACUGGAAUUACUCGGGGAAUUGGGAACUGGUCAGGGUAAUAGAGGUAACGGCUUGCACGUUUUAAUAAAAGGGUUGAAAGAUUGUCGUUUUAAUGACACUAUAAACACUCACUCACCUCGACGGCUAAUUACGAUUAACCCCCUAGGGCUAACGGCAACACACUCAACACAAGGAACGACAGGGGGUGCAGGUUAACAACGGUUUUACAGGAAAUGGAACGACGGUUAAAGGUGCAGUAAUCAAUGACAGGUAAAUAAGGCUGGUUAAUAGCAAAAGGCACUGGUAAAGGUAGAAGCAAAAGUUACAAACACUGGACUGA